This is a long non-coding RNA of Triticum aestivum (bread wheat), 2758 nucleotides long. RefSeq lists it as uncharacterized. The record is from RefSeq and is a predicted model, not a curated record. Lineage: Eukaryota; Viridiplantae; Streptophyta; Magnoliopsida; Poales; Poaceae. The transcript has 3 exons.
GGCAGCAGCGGCGCGGCGCUCCUCCGCGCGCGCCGUUCGUGCUCCGUGGUGGUGGGAGGGCGGCGGUGCUUGCGGCGGGGGGGUGGGCGUCCCGUGCUCCGGCCAUCUUUGGCCCGCGCGAUGCGCUUCGCCUCCAAAUCUGGCGGGUUGGGCCGCUGCCUGCGGUGCCUCACGGCGUUCGUGGCGGCUGGUCGUUCCCCCGGCCGUGAGGGCGGCGUGGGGCUGCGGCGGAGCCAUCUUCCUCGGCUUGGACGGCCGCGGCGGGCCUGGGCGUCUGCUGUCUUCUGCGACGGAUCUGCCGAUUCCUGCUCUCUCCGGUGAGCUGGACCUCGGGAUGGGUGGGGUGAGUGCGCUGGGCUUCUACGCACGAGGUGUGCGGCGGACUCGGCGUGAUGCAGGUGCAGCUCUCGCUGCCUCUUAGAUCGAGCUCUGCUCGCUCUCCCGAUUUGGAGGCUUCGCAUGGUGCGGCGGCCUCUGUUCCGUGGUCAGGCUGCGAGUGCUCUUGCUGGUGUGUUGGUUUGGCUAGUAGGCUGCAGGUUGAGGGUCGUGACACUGCCGGCGUAAAGCCGGGCUCCGGUUUCGGUUGGAGCCAACGACGGCGGUGCCUGUGGGCGCCGUAUCCUUGCUGAAGGCGUCGUGCUGCUGGUGUUCGUCUUCCCUCCUAAAUUGCUCCGGAGGAAACUUUGGAUCUUGGGUCUCCCGGAUCGGGCGAUGGUGGCGCUCAACGUCACACUCCCACUUGGGGCUUCGUCUUUGAGCUUGCCUUGGCUAGGGUGACCAGUGGCUUGAGGUGGUCCCGUUGGCGGUCCGUGUGGGCGUUAGCAGUGGAGAGGUGGUGCUCUGUCUUCGUGAUCUUGGCUCGGCCAUGCCUUUGGCCGUGUUGAGGUGUUUGUGUUGGCGGUUGGAUGGUGGUGGUGCGGCCGGGUUGGGGUCGACGGUGGUUUGAGCUCUUCUUCGGGGGUGUUCUUCUCGUGUUCUUGCUCCUGCACUCCUGAGUGUGUUCUCUGCUAGGUGAUGCCAAGCGACAGCGGCGGUGGCGCACAAGUGCCGUGGCGCUGUCUCGGCCUCGCGUGACCUUUCGAAUGUGCCCCACGGCACAGGUGGUGUCGCGGCGUUGUGCAGUCUCGGAUGCGCGGAGCCUUUCGAUUGCGUCGACGGUGCAGUGUCAUGGUCUUGUUUGCUUGGCGAUGCUGACUUCGUCUAUGGCACAUAGGCUCCAUGGCGUCGUCUCGGCCUCGCGUGACCUUUCGAAUGCACCCCCGGCACAGGUGGUGUUGUGGCGUUGUGCACUCUCGGAUGCGUGAAGCCUUUCGAUUGCGUCGAUGGUGCAGUGUCUUGGCUUGGUCAGCUGGCCAAUGCCGUUCGAUCACAUUGGUGGUGCUUUGUGUUGUGCUGGGAUGUGCCUUCCCUCUUUGUUCUCCCCUGUUUGUAUGUUUGGAGUAUUCUGUUUUUGCUUUAUCUCUUCUUUCGUGUCCCCCUGUAAUUCUGGUUCAUUUGAACCCAUCUUGCAAAAAGGCUGCAAAGCCUUAUAGGCAAAUGAAUAUAAUUCAGGUGGUGGAGGGGCUCCCCCUCCUCCCCCGGUGAAAAUUCAAAAAAAAAAAAAAGGAACACUUGGAGUUGGUCGAAACAGCGAUCAAGAAGAAGAAAGCUGUCGUGCAGACUAUCUGGAGACGCAAAAAUGAAUUUGAUGGUAGCACUGCCAGUACACAUGGAACAGCUUUUCUAAUUGGAACGGCCAGUUCGGAGAAAACCAAGGGUAGUGCUGGAUUCUACAUGUCCGUGGCACACAAUAUAGCUGGAGACCAGAAGGCAAAUGAAUAUAUCGUUAGAUUGCUAGGUGACGAGACGGAGUACGGUCUCGAGGUACUAUAUAAGCAUGUGCUGCACGACCUACUGCUGAUCAAGAUCGAGAGUGUGCCUCCAUGUGAUGAUGAAGUUUUGAAGUUCUGCAGUGUUCCAUUGAAGACAAAGGAUAAGGUGGUAGCAAUUGGCUAUGAACCUCUAAAUGUGCCGUCAAUUCAUGAUGCUACAGUGAUGUUUGAGCCAUCAAUCAUGACAGGCGUCAUAUCGUAAGUAGCAUGCACAUGAAACAAUAGGAUAUUCGGCCGUGUCUCGUGUUUGUUGAGCUGUGUAGGUGUAAUCUGUUUAAGGAUGAAGAGUCACACUAGAGCUAGUUUUCUUAUGUGCAGGUGUCCUCUGUUUAAGGAUAAAGAGUCACACAAGGACACAAACAAGGCUGCUUGUACAUGUGCAACGGUACAGGGCAAUUCUGGAUGCCCCAUACUACUAGUCAAUGGUGAAGUAGUUGGCGUGCUGACCCAAUAGAUGGAACUUCACGUGAAAUCAUUACUACCGAGACAAUGAGGAUAUUUUUACUAGAAUAUCUCCAGUUGAAGGACGAUCCUAAGCAUACCAUUGACUCUUUGGUGGAGACGCUGACUGCUAGGCAUAAACCACUAAGAAAAUCUGGGAGGAGGGCAGGCAGGAUCCGCUGACGCUAAGGAAUGCUGUGCCAGAAUGACUGAUCUCAUGAGCCAUUUUUUGUGGAAGUAUACUCCCCGAAUAUCUUCUUCUAUCAUCUCAUGUGUAUGCUAUGAUGAAAACACUAGCGCGCCCGUUUCUUUUGGCAAGAAAAUGGUGCCCUGUUUAUUAGACAUCUAACGAACCUGGUUCAGAGCGGGACGCUUUAUGAUUUAAUGAUGAGGUCUUUCAAUUUGUCAUCUUUGUUGAAAGUAAACGCAGGGCUGACAAAGAUGAG